This 228-nucleotide long non-coding RNA is filed under the name Olea europaea (common olive). RNAcentral's name for it is "long non-coding RNA (OEUR_LNC001558)". The record is from RNAcentral. Lineage: Eukaryota; Viridiplantae; Streptophyta; Magnoliopsida; Lamiales; Oleaceae.
GCCCCCAAGUCCCAACUCCAGUGGGUUCGGCCGUCCAAAGACCAACUCCUGUCUUUCCGUUCAGCACUUCAGCCCCCAGCGUCGCCAUGGAUUCGAAGCAGUGAACUCCAAAAGUCGAAAGCCCAUCAAAGGUGAGACCUCCAACCAUUCGACAGUAAGCCCUAAAUGUUUCGCCGACGCAAAUUCUGUUCUUAUCUGCCUAAUAAAUGUUAUUCAAUUGAUUACUUG